CACGUAGGGGGCGAGCGUUUGUCCGGAUUUAUUGGGCGUAAAGAGCUCGUAGGCGGCUCGGUAAGUCGGGUGUGAAAUUUCGAGGCUCAACCUCGAAACGCCACCCGAUACUGCUGUGGCUAGAGUCCGGUAGGGGAGCGUGGAAUUCCUGGUGUAGCGGUGAAAUGCGCAGAUAUCAGGAGGAACACCAGCGGCGAAGGCGGCGCUCUGGGCCGGUACUGACGCUGAGGAGCGAAAGCGUGGGGAUCAAACAGG
Molecule: ribosomal RNA, 255 nt
Filed under: uncultured bacterium
Lineage: Bacteria
Description: partial 16S ribosomal RNA
Rfam family: Bacterial small subunit ribosomal RNA
Source: RNAcentral